RNAcentral lists this ribosomal RNA (326 nucleotides) under uncultured eukaryote. RNAcentral's name for it is "partial 18S ribosomal RNA". It matches the Rfam family "Eukaryotic small subunit ribosomal RNA", at positions 1470 to 1796 of the family's 1831-position model. The record is from RNAcentral.
CCCUUAGAUGUUCUGGGCUGCACGCGCGCUCCACUGAUGCACUCAACGAGUUUACGACCUUGCCCGAUAGGGUUGGGUAAUCUUUUUAAAAUGCAUCGUGAUGGGGAUAGAUUAUUGCAAUUAUUAAUCUUCAACGAGGAAUUCCUAGUAAGCGCGAGUCAUCAGCUCGUGCUGAUUACGUCCCUGCCCUUUGUACACACCGCCCGUCGCUCCUACCGAUUGAGUGCUCAGGUGAAUAAUUCGGACUGCAGCAAUGUUUGGAUCCCGAACGUUGCAGCGGAAAGUUUAGUGAACCUUAUCACUUAGAGGAAGGAGAAGUCGUAACA